This 182-nucleotide non-coding RNA is filed under the name Opitutaceae bacterium. RNAcentral's name for it is "6S RNA". It matches the Rfam family "6S / SsrS RNA". From Rfam's summary of the family: E. coli 6S RNA was the first non coding RNA to be sequenced, but its function was unknown until recently. It consists of 184 nucleotides that fold into an extended hairpin structure with a large single-stranded internal bulge. The record is from RNAcentral. Lineage: Bacteria; Pseudomonadati; Verrucomicrobiota; Opitutia; Opitutales; Opitutaceae.
GACACCCGGCAGUGUUCGAGGUGCUUUCAAUAACUGCUCUUUGCCUUAGGAAAUAUACGGGAGCCCAAACCGGCGCGAAAGAUGUCAGGCCGUAAAUCGGAAGACAGAGGUCGCGACGGAGGCGCCCACCUUAACUAAAAAAGGUCUUGAGCCUUUGGGCAUACGGCACAGGCGGGGUGUCA